AACGAACGUUGGCGGCGUGGAUUAGGCAUGCAAGUCGAGGGAAUUCCCGCAAGGGAGGAACCGGCGUAAGGGGCAGUAAGGCAUGGGUACCUACCCGAAGGUUCGGCAUAGCCAUCAGAGAUGGUGGGUAAUACCGGAUGAUGUCGAGAGACCAAAGAUUUAUCGCCUUCGGAGGGGCCCAUGUGAUAUUAGCUUGUUGGUGGGGUAACGGCCCACCAAGGCUAAGAUGUCUAGCGGGUGUGAGAGCACGACCCGCGCCACUCGCACUGAGACACUGGCGAGACACCUACGGGUGGCUGCAGUCGAGGAUCUUCGGCAAUGAGCGCAAGCUUGACCGAGCGACGCCGCGUGCGCGAUGAAGGCCUCCGGGUUGUAAAGCGCUUUAGGGGGGGAGAAAAACCGAAAGGUGUGAUCUAUCCCCAAAAUAAGCACGGGCUAAGUUCGUGCCAGCCGCCGCCGUAAAAC
This 465-nucleotide ribosomal RNA is filed under the name uncultured bacterium. RNAcentral describes it as "bacterial SSU rRNA". It matches the Rfam family "Bacterial small subunit ribosomal RNA", at positions 29 to 526 of the family's 1533-position model. The record is from RNAcentral.